AACUGAUACUACCUGCGGGAACCUGCGGAGGGAUCAUUACAGAGUUGCAAAACUCCCUAAACCAUUGUGAACGUUACCUAAACCGUUGCUUCGGCGGGCGGCCCGGGUCCUUCCCGGCGCCCAUCGGCCCUCGCGGGCGCCCGCCGGAGGUAAACCAAACUAUUGCAUUGUAUGGCCUCUCUGAGUCUUCUGUACUGAAUAAGUCAAAACUUUCAACAACGGAUCUCUAGAUCGGAAGAG
RNAcentral lists this unclassified non-coding RNA (240 nucleotides) under soil metagenome. RNAcentral describes it as "partial contains 5.8S ribosomal RNA, internal transcribed spacer 2, and large subunit ribosomal RNA". The record is from RNAcentral.